UACGAAGGGGGCUAGCGUUGCUCGGAAUCACUGGGCGUAAAGCGCACGUAGGCGGAUUGUUAAGUCAGGGGUGAAAUCCUGGAGCUCAACUCCAGAACUGCCUUUGAUACUGGCGAUCUCGAGUCCGGGAGAGGUGAGUGGAACUGCGAGUGUAGAGGUGAAAUUCGUAGAUAUUCGCAAGAACACCAGUGGCGAAGGCGGCUCACUGGCCCGUAACUGACGCUGAGGUGCGAAAGCGUGGGGAGCAAACAGG
Molecule: ribosomal RNA, 253 nt
Filed under: uncultured bacterium
Lineage: Bacteria
Description: partial 16S ribosomal RNA
Rfam family: Bacterial small subunit ribosomal RNA
Source: RNAcentral